Molecule: ribosomal RNA, 279 nt
Filed under: uncultured bacterium
Lineage: Bacteria
Description: partial 16S ribosomal RNA
Rfam family: Bacterial small subunit ribosomal RNA
Source: RNAcentral
UGCCAGCAGCCGCGGUAAUACGAAGGGUGCUAGCGUUGUUCGGAGUUACUGGGCGUAAAGAGCAUGUAGGCGGACUGUUAAGUCUGAUGUGAAAGCCCGGGGCUCAACCCCGGAACUGCCUUGUAAACUCCUGGUCUUGAGUUCGAGAGAGGUGAGUGGAAUUCCGAGUGUAGAGGUGAAAUUCGUAGAUAUUCGGAGGAACACCAGUGGCGAAGGCGGCUCACUGGCUCGAUACUGACGCUGAGGUACGAAAGUGUGGGGAGCAAACAGGAUUAGAUA